GCUGCACACUAUUAAAGCUCAGGGUGGAGGCCAGUCGUGGCUCAUGAACUCUGAGUGUCGGAAGUGUGCUACAUCAAUGGCAGGAUUUUCGCUAACACCAGUAGAGCUUGCCUCUAUGACUGGAGUUUGGUAGUACUCGCUGCCACAUAG
Molecule: small nucleolar RNA, 150 nt
Organism: Pongo abelii (Sumatran orangutan)
Lineage: Eukaryota; Metazoa; Chordata; Mammalia; Primates; Hominidae
Source: Ensembl